AGCAAUACUCCUCAGAGCAAACGUUGGCUUUUCAGCUAACUUAGAAGUUCCCUGGAAAAUGCUUCUUAAGCCUUAGAGAAGAGAGACAGUCUUUUUCAUAUAACAUAGCCAAACCAAGGGCGUGACACUCCGUCACCGUCACCAUACUCUGCUGAUUAGAAGUGAUUCACAGUUUCUGCCCACAAUGAACAGAAGAGGUCACAUAGGAGAGUGAUCAGCAUAUCUUGGGAGCACAGUAGACACAGGUUAAGGAGAUCCCCUGCCUGCAGUGUCCCAAUCAAAUCAUAGGAACACUGUGAGACUCUGGGGUGAGCUUGCAUUUGCAGACAGGAACUGAAGGGCUGGAGAGGUUACACUCACCCAGGUGCAGUUGCCCAGCAUGUGAAAGAGGAGACAUUCUAAACCCUGCACUUAAAAAAUAAAUAAAUAAAUAAAGUUACAGACUGUC
RNAcentral lists this long non-coding RNA (448 nucleotides) under Homo sapiens (human). RNAcentral's name for it is "uncharacterized LOC105375750 (LOC105375750)". The record is from RNAcentral. Lineage: Eukaryota; Metazoa; Chordata; Mammalia; Primates; Hominidae.